This 434-nucleotide ribosomal RNA is filed under the name uncultured Clostridium sp. RNAcentral describes it as "partial 16S ribosomal RNA". It matches the Rfam family "Bacterial small subunit ribosomal RNA", at positions 341 to 792 of the family's 1533-position model. Lineage: Bacteria; Bacillati; Bacillota; Clostridia; Eubacteriales; Clostridiaceae. The record is from RNAcentral.
ACGGGAGGCAGCAGUGGGGAAUAUUGCACAAUGGGGGAAACCCUGAUGCAGCGACGCCGCGUGAGUGAAGAAGUAUUUCGGUAUGUAAAGCUCUAUCAGCAGGAAAGAAAAUGACGGUACCUGACUAAGAAGCCCCGGCUAACUACGUGCCAGCAGCCGCGGUAAUACGUAUGGUGCAAGCGUUAUCCGGAUUUACUGGGUGUAAAGGGAGCGUAGACGGCAUGGCAAGUCUGAAGUGAAAGCCUGGGGCUCAACCCCGGAACUGCUUUGGAAACUGUUAAGCUAGAGUGCAGGAGAGGUAAGUGGAAUUCCUAGUGUAGCGGUGAAAUGCGUAGAUAUUAGGAGGAACAUCAGUGGCGAAGGCGGCUUACUGGGCUUUAACUGACGCUGAGGCUCGAAAGCGUGGGGAGCAAACAGGAUUAGAUACCCUGGUA